Molecule: long non-coding RNA, 2707 nt
Filed under: Homo sapiens (human)
Lineage: Eukaryota; Metazoa; Chordata; Mammalia; Primates; Hominidae
Description: non-protein coding lnc-MAP3K9-3:26
Source: RNAcentral
AGGAGAGAAGCUGGUAACAGAUGGGGCGAAGGAGGAAAAGUUCUUUUUGCGGCACCCUCACGCCUUCCCAGCCCUUUCGCGGUUUACUCGCUCCCCGGAAAGCAGGUUAGAGCAUCCCAAAAUUUCAUGUCCCCAAGACCCCCAAAGGGGAAAUUAACCACCCUCGGGCACCGAGCUGUUCGUCUCCAUUUCCCACAACUCAACCAACUCGGCCUGCCUACUCCAGCUCAGGCUGCAAAGCGCUCACCCAGGUGACUGGAGGGGAAGGGUCGCCAGGUGGCGACCAGCUCAGCGGGGUGGACGCAACCGCCCGGACCGGGACGCGGGUCUCCUGGCCUCCCGCAGAGACGCCUGCCCAGUAGUUGUGCAGAUUCGGGUUCUGGGGUGCGUGCGCGCGCGCCGGGCGCGGUGAAGCCGGACUCGCCCCCGCCGGGCUAAGCUACCAGCAAGCCACCAAAUCGAAAAUCAAACUUUAACCGGCCUCCUGGGGUCCUGCUCCGGGCCCUGGACCCCAACCCCGGCCAGAAACAGGGCAGGGGGCUGUCAGCCGUCCUGCACCCCCGCUCCCCCCAGGACCCGGGCGCGGGGACCACUUACCGCUCGGCCCGGCCUCCCGGUGCCGCCGCGCGUCCCGGGCGCGUCCGCCGCGCGCUCUCCCUGGGGAGAAAGAGAAACCGUGUAGACGGCCGGCGCGCGCUCACUCGCCGCCUCCUCUGCGGAGAGCGGCGAGGCCGGCCCGAGGCGGGCGCCGAGCGCGGAGCGGAGGGGGGCCCGAGGGAGGCGGGGGUGGAAUCAGCCCAAUUCCCGAGGCUGGCUCCGAGGGGGACCCGGAAUACAGGCUGGCGGGGGGCCGGCGGGGGCCGAGCUCCCGGAGGAGGGGAAGGCGGAGGUGGCCCCGUCCUUGGGCAUCAACUAUUGUCUAGGCGCCCGGGCCCCCGCUCGCGCCGUCCCCGAGGCUCAGCGCCCCCAUCCCGCCCGCCAGCAGAAAGAACUGAGGGGGCGGCCAGUACGGGAAGCAAGUGCGGGGGUCCGGGCUCCGAAGGUCCAAGGUGGGCGCGAGGUUGCCGGGGGGGGGAUGAGGAGGUGCGUACCGCAUGGGGGAGGGGACAGGUAAGUGCGGACGGGGGCGGGAAGGCCCCAACGACCGGUGGGGGAGGAAAUGGGGAGGGAGCCACAGAGGCGGGAGGGAAUGGAGUGGCUGCGGGGGCGGCCUCUGGGGCCCAGACCUGGCCCUCCCCGGGGACCCUCCAGCCGGGGACUCGGCGCUGCACUGACUUUUCGCUCACUCGCUCACGCACGCACUGAACUCGCUCACAAAGUUGCCGGCAGUGGCGGCGCCUCACUCGCCCUUCCCCUCCCCGCCCCGCCUCCCGCCCCAUUCCUUCCCCUCCUUCACUCCUCCCUCUCCCCCAAGUCUCGGGUGAGAUCACCACGGAGCGGCUUAGCGCGGCGCACAAGUCUCGCGAGAGAAGCGGCGGCUGGGCCCUGCAGGCGGAGGAAGUGGAAAAAGUCGCGGGAGGGUAGGGGACCGCGGAACUUCUGGUUGCUAUGACGACGGCAAAGCCCUGGAUUCCUGUCUCCUGCGGAGAGCAGAGGCUGCAAACGCAUCCGCAGACGCCUUUAUACGUACUCCAAAAUGCUAGUAAGGAUGAAGAUGAACUCUCCUCAGCCCGUGUCUUUUAACUGUAGAAACUUUUCUGAGAAAUGAAAAGAGGCUUGCUCAUGACUUGGAAGCGGUGGGCUGAGGCCUCCCAAGACCAUCUGGCUUGUUCCAUUGCCAGCCAGAGUGGAGGCGACAUUCACACGAACCCAGGAGCUGCAGGGGCGCGUGAGCUACAGCUGCCUUGUGGCAUCCAAGGAGUGCGCAGUGAGAUUCCGCAGGAGAAAUCACGCUUUGCAUGUUCUUGAGUACAAGAAACAUGUGUAAUGAGGGUUUUUGUUUGCGGGCAUGCCAAGGAGAACGACUGGAAUAUUAAAGUCAUCACAGCCUUUAUUUAAGGGAGAAGAGGACAAGCAUGAAUAUGCUGAUAGUUCAGAGAUAUUUAGGACCUUCAGCAGCUCAGCACUCAUCCUAGAUUUAUACAAAUACCUUUCCAGAGAUGAAGUUUUUAAAAGCCUUUUAAAGGAAUUUUAUUUGUUCUUUUCACGUGGGGAAAAGUGAUGAGUAUAUCUAUGCAAGUAUGAGAAAUGGCCAAGGCCACUCCAUGUAAUUUUUUACUUAUCCUAUAGCUACACAAAGAAAAUAGCACCAAGUGUUGUAGAGGAAAAUCUACUAGACUUCAAGCCCGGCUUGAAUUCAAUUCUGUGCUCUAAUUCAGACUCUAUCUUUACUUAGCUGAGUCAUAUAAAUUAUUUAAUUUUCUAGACUUCUCACUUCUCUUUCUUUCUUUUUUUUUUAGACUAGUCUCACUCUGUUGCCCAGGCUGGAGUGCAGUGGCGCGAUCUCAGCUUACUUCAGCCUCCGCCUCCCGGUUUCAAGUGAAUUCUCCAGCCUCAACUUCACAAGUAGCUGGGAUUACAGCCACUUUUUAUCUUCUCUCCUGCAAUCCAACCCACAUAAUUUCCAUGAAGAAAGCGGAGUGGUGUCAUUUUACAACAAGAAAACUGAGUUAAGAAUAAGUCCAAUCAAUUGCUAGGUGUUGAGACUGAAAUGGAAGUCUCUUAGUACUCCACCCAAGGAUUUUCAUAUUAAACAAUUAUCUUGUCA